Anas platyrhynchos (mallard) is the source of this 647-nucleotide non-coding RNA. The record is from RefSeq and is a predicted model, not a curated record. Lineage: Eukaryota; Metazoa; Chordata; Aves; Anseriformes; Anatidae.
CUUCUUCUUCUUCACCGUCACCGCCCUCAAUUUUCAUUUCCUUGAUGCUCUUUCCUAGUGGCUGAAGAAGCAGCUGGUUUUCUUCACAGGCCGUCAUCGGAUCCCGCGGGAGCUUCAGAGAAGACUUCUGACUGUGAGUGAAGACCCCAGGCCACUGCUGUCUGCCUCUUGCUGACCGUGGGAAGGUGUGGGGCUGGGAUGUGCAGCCAGGACCCCAAAUGUGCCGGGAGCACCAGAGUCAUCAGAUGAAGACGACUCCACCCAGCAGUGAGCUCAUGUGGUGGGGUCUGAUCCUGCCUUGCAUUACAACCACUCCAGAAAUACAUGACUUUGUAUUACUUCCACAGACCAAGUUUAUCAUUAACUUAUACAGCUCUGGAUGACCAUUAUCCAGAGCCGUGCCCAGGCUCUGUUUUGCACCUUGCCUUGAGACUGCCUGGCUGCAGGUGUGAAAGAGGAAAGAUGGUGCACAGGACUGUGUACAUAGGAGGGUUUUAUACUGAAGGACUACAGAACAGUUAUGUAUGUCAGUGCCAUCAGCUGUGACUGGAAAAAGAAGGUGGUUCAGAUGCAAGAAGUCAUUUUACGUGUCAUAAAUCUAUUAUUGGCAUUUGUCUUUCAAUAAAUUGUUUUAAAAAAUUAUGAAG